RNAcentral lists this long non-coding RNA (957 nucleotides) under Haliotis rufescens (red abalone). RNAcentral describes it as "uncharacterized LOC124126052, transcript variant X3". Lineage: Eukaryota; Metazoa; Mollusca; Gastropoda; Lepetellida; Haliotidae. The record is from RNAcentral.
UGUACGGCUUCCUUGCAGCCAUUGCUCCCUUGCGCCUGUCACCUAAAGUCGCCCAUUGCUUAUUAUCCCAGAGAGAAAUAUGAAGAGUUCUUUUCACAUUGUGUAGUCCAGUGCACAGUGAAGUAUCGAUGCAAAGUGCAGGGUGAAAACAAAUGGGUUUGAAAGUGGGACACAGAGAUUUAAAAGUAGCCAAUCCAGAAGACGCCUGGGCUUACACUCUGAUUGACCACCAAGCAGUUGACUGACCCACAAAGAAAAACAUGAAACUCAGAGUAUGUGAAUUUUAGAAAGAGUAGUUGGGCAUGCAGUUCUGUGGCGAGAUACUCGACUGUGGCUGAAUGAGGCACGGAAACACUCUUCACAGCAAAGGUAGAAAACUCUUCACUGCUCGUGCCGCAAUAGGAGGCGCCAAGAGCACUUGCCGGCACCGGAAGUAAAGUGGUCAGUGUCUGUUUACAGCUGUGGCUGCACAGUGACAGCAAUGUCUACACUCUAGCGGAGGAACAUGUACCACUGCCAAACCACGACACACAACAGAGUACUGGGCACACCUGGAGCAGUCGCCGCUGUGGCACUUGAGGGUUGCUGUGAGCACUCUAGUGACAGCACAGCCUAGCCCUAAUUUGAAGAUUGCGAAUUGACUUUACCGGACUCUGGCAGUUGACGCUAUGAACAGCACUGUGAGCUCUACCUUGGAAGUUACGAGCAAAGGUGGUAUCGCGAGCUUUCUGCAUCCCUGAAUGGGAUGGUGGAGGUAUAUCGGCACUCAUGCACAGGACACGGAAACUCUCACUUCCAAUGGGACAUUUUGAGAGGCCUAUCUGUAUUCCAGUAUUGGCAGUGGAAGAUCGACAUCCCCUUCUCAUUCCACUACCCUCUACCUCCUUGAACAGUUUACGGUACUCUGACAGGGAACUCUUAUCCUCCUCAGGGGUGUUUUCCUUCCUUGGCCUUAAA